UCCUUGGCAACGGUGCCACCACCGGUACCCCGUCCCCUGGUAAUAAAGGUUUAAUACAAACAGUGAUAAACGACAAUGAGAUAACCUAUCAAGUAAAGCCAAAUCUUUUAAAUGAAAAUUCAUCAACCACUUAAUUAGGGAAAAUAACAUGGUUUAUAAUUUUAAUAUUUGAUGACAGUUAGUUGAACAACUAUUUUUCCAUGGUUUCAGAACAUGCUUAUAAUUGAUAAAAUAAAGGACCAAUUCUAUAUUUACUACCAUCAUAUUGCAGAUAACUUAAUACUUGACCAAUUUCAUGCUUGCGGUCAUACUUAACCACGAUCAUGUUGUUCUGCCUAUAAGAAUUAGAUGCAUCAUUUAGCACCCUCAGAUCUCGAUACUUGAUUAGGAACUGAACAAGGAAAGAGGAGGAGAAGUUACCCAGAUGGGACAAAGAAUGCUGCAUAAGGAACCAACAUGAAACCUGAGGGGAGUGAAAUAGCCCCCAACAGAAGCAGAUUCAUGAGCUGCCUCUUGCCCAUGUCUGGCACUCUAUCAGCAGGGAUGCUAGUGGCCUGGCAUGUGAUCCUCAUUCCCUUUUCGUUUUUGACCAAAUGGGUCCUCGUUGGUUUCACAAGAAACGCUUGUGAUGGGCAGAAC
RNAcentral lists this long non-coding RNA (639 nucleotides) under Gossypium raimondii (Peruvian cotton). RNAcentral describes it as "long non-coding RNA (GRAI_LNC004191)". Lineage: Eukaryota; Viridiplantae; Streptophyta; Magnoliopsida; Malvales; Malvaceae. The record is from RNAcentral.